RNAcentral lists this ribosomal RNA (366 nucleotides) under Staphylococcus schleiferi subsp. schleiferi. RNAcentral's name for it is "bacterial SSU rRNA". It matches the Rfam family "Bacterial small subunit ribosomal RNA", at positions 1014 to 1380 of the family's 1533-position model. Lineage: Bacteria; Bacillati; Bacillota; Bacilli; Caryophanales; Staphylococcaceae. The record is from RNAcentral.
UCCUCUUCGGAGGACAAAGUGACAGGUGGUGCAUGGUUGUCGUCAGCUCGUGUCGUGAGAUGUUGGGUUAAGUCCCGCAACGAGCGCAACCCUUGAGCUUAGUUGCCAUCAUUAAGUUGGGCACUCUAAGUUGACUGCCGGUGACAAACCGGAGGAAGGUGGGGAUGACGUCAAAUCAUCAUGCCCCUUAUGAUUUGGGCUACACACGUGCUACAAUGGACAAUACAAAGGGCAGCGAAACCGCGAGGUCAAGCAAAUCCCAUAAAGUUGUUCUCAGUUCGGAUUGUAGUCUGCAACUCGACUACAUGAAGCUGGAAUCGCUAGUAAUCGUAGAUCAGCAUGCUACGGUGAAUACGUUCCCGGGUC